RNAcentral lists this long non-coding RNA (206 nucleotides) under Gossypium raimondii (Peruvian cotton). RNAcentral's name for it is "long non-coding RNA (GRAI_LNC000600)". Lineage: Eukaryota; Viridiplantae; Streptophyta; Magnoliopsida; Malvales; Malvaceae. The record is from RNAcentral.
UUUUAAUCUAUUUUAACAUGAAUAUAACCCUUAUUUCAACCCUAAAACAUAUCAUCAACCUCCUUUAAACUUUAAAACCCUCUUCAACCCUUUCAAAAACUUCAAAUCCUUAAACCCUAAAAUCCCCUUUUCACAACUAAAACCAACUCAUUCUUGAUAAUUGUAGGAACCAAGACAAACCAUUCACGAUACGACAUCUCUACGAG